CAUACCCAUAGGAUGGGGACAACUCCGGAAAACCGGAGGUAAUACCGAAUAAUAUUUCAAGAACGCAUGUUUGAAAAUCAAAGGAGGCCUCUCUAUAGAAGCUUCUGCCCAUGGAUGGAUCCGCGUCUGAUUAGCUAGUUGGUGGGGUAAUGGCCUACCAAGGCGACGAUCAGUAGCCGGCCUGAGAGGGUGAACGGCCACACUGGGACUGAGACACGGCCCAGACUCCUACGGGAGGCAGCAGUGGGGAAUCUUCCGCAAUGGGCGAAAGCCUGACGGAGCAAUGCCGCGUGAAUGAAGAAGGCCUUCGGGUUGUAAAGUUCUGUUGAGAAGGAAGAAAGAUCUAAGAGCUAAUACCUCUUAAGUUUGACGGUACUUUUCGAGGAAGCCCCGGCUAACUACGUGCCAGCAGCCGCGGUAAUACGUAGGGGGCAAGCGUUGUCCGGAAUCACUGGGCGUAAAGCGCAUGUAGGCGGGAUAUUAAGUCAGGUGUGAAAACUACAGGCUCAACCUGUAGAUUGCAUUUGAAACUGGUAUUCUUGAGUAUUGGAGAGGAAAGUGGAAUUCCUAGUGUAGCGGUGAAAUGCGUAGAUAUUAGGAGGAACACCAGUGGCGAAGGCGACUUUCUG
This 629-nucleotide ribosomal RNA is filed under the name uncultured bacterium. Its description in RNAcentral is "bacterial SSU rRNA". It matches the Rfam family "Bacterial small subunit ribosomal RNA", at positions 125 to 731 of the family's 1533-position model. The record is from RNAcentral.